AGUUCCCUGCGAUGUUCGUGAUAAAUGGUAAUCUUAGAGCCAACACCUCUUUUAUGGGGGUCUUCCAUUGCCGGUGUGUGCAAGCUCACAGAAUAGGUGAGAAGCCUGAUCUGGCAAAUAGACGCCCACUUUAAAUUGAGGUUCAAGAAAUACUGUUUACACGGCAUCUGCGGGGCUUUU
Molecule: non-coding RNA, 180 nt
Filed under: Deltaproteobacteria bacterium
Lineage: Bacteria; Pseudomonadati; Myxococcota; Myxococcia
Description: 6S RNA
Rfam family: 6S / SsrS RNA
About the family: E. coli 6S RNA was the first non coding RNA to be sequenced, but its function was unknown until recently. It consists of 184 nucleotides that fold into an extended hairpin structure with a large single-stranded internal bulge.
Source: RNAcentral